CCUACGGGUGGCAGCAGUGAGGAAUAUUGGUCAAUGGGCGGGAGCCUGAACCAGCCAAGCCGCGUGAGGGAAGAAGGUACAGCGUAUCGUAAACCUCUUUUGUCAGGGAACAAAGGCGGGGACUAGUCCCCGGAUGAGGGUACCUGAAGAAAAAGCAUCGGCUAACUCCGUGCCAGCAGCCGCGGUAAUACGGAGGAUGCGAGCGUUAUCCGGAUUUAUUGGGUUUAAAGGGUGCGCAGGCGGCCUGUUAAGUCAGCGGUAAAAGCCCGGGGCUCAACCCCGGCGAGCCGUUGAAACUGGCGUGCUUGAGUCCGCGGAAAGCAGGCGGAAUUCGUCGUGUAGCGGUGAAAUGCUUAGAUAUGACGAAGAACCCCGAUUGCGAAGGCAGCUUGCUGCAGCGGAACUGACGCUGAUGCUCGAAAGCGCGGGUAUCGAACAGGAUUAGAUACCCUGGUAGUC
RNAcentral lists this ribosomal RNA (459 nucleotides) under uncultured bacterium. RNAcentral's name for it is "partial 16S ribosomal RNA". It matches the Rfam family "Bacterial small subunit ribosomal RNA", at positions 338 to 795 of the family's 1533-position model. The record is from RNAcentral.